RNAcentral lists this ribosomal RNA (385 nucleotides) under Chaetoceros pseudocurvisetus. RNAcentral describes it as "SSU rRNA". It matches the Rfam family "Eukaryotic small subunit ribosomal RNA", at positions 575 to 961 of the family's 1831-position model. The record is from RNAcentral. Lineage: Eukaryota; Bacillariophyta; Thalassiosirophyceae; Chaetocerotales; Chaetocerotaceae.
CGCCAGUAUUCCAGCUCCAAUAGCGUAUAUUAAAGUUGUUGCAGUUAAAAAGCUCGUAGUUGAAUUUCUGGCUGGAAGGGAGCGGUCCCGCAUCUUUGCGGGUACUUGCUCGUCUUCUGCCAUCCUUGGGCUUAGUCUCGCUGAUAUUAACUUAUCGGCGUGUACGAUGCCCAUCGUUUACUGUGAGCAAAUUAGAGUGUUCAAAGCAGGCUUAUGCCGUUGAAUAUAUUAGCAUGGAAUAAUAAGAUAGGACCUAGUGACUAUUUUGUUGGUUUGCGUUAUUAGGUAAUGAUUAAGAGGGACAGUUGUGGGUAUUCGUAUUCAGGUGUAAGAGGUGAAAUUCUUAGAUUAUCGGAAGACGAACGACUGCGAAAGCAUUUACCAA